RNAcentral lists this transfer RNA (73 nucleotides) under Phakopsora pachyrhizi. RNAcentral's name for it is "tRNA-His". It matches the Rfam family "tRNA". Rfam says of the family: Transfer RNA (tRNA) molecules are approximately 80 nucleotides in length. The record is from RNAcentral. Lineage: Eukaryota; Fungi; Basidiomycota; Pucciniomycetes; Pucciniales; Phakopsoraceae.
GGCAUGAUAGCUCAAUGGUUAGAGCAUGCACCAUGAGUGGCAUAGUUCUGGGUUCAAGUCCCAGUCCAAGCCA